GCCUCGCGAUUGUUUUUUUUGUAGUUGUAGUAACGCCAGUUGCAAGUCCAUCAUCGACUCGCAACUCGGCUCGUAGUUUUUUUUUUCACGUCACUUGCAAGUCGACCCUCGACUUGGGGGCAAAAUGAUGAGAUAGAUGGGGUUCAUAUCUACUUGAUACAGAGAGGAUACAAUUUAUAAUUUUUUCCCAAGCACUUUACUCAUUUUAUUUGGUCCAAAAGAAUAACCGACUUAAAUCUUUGUUUCUACUGGACAAAAGGGAUAGCAUGUUAACCACCAACUGAAAUUUAUUUGUUAGUCAGUAAGAGGAUUUGAUGGUGUUGCAAACUCAUGACCCUGAGAGGCGAAUGAGUAAGGUGGAAUCAACUGCAGAAAUUGUUGUCCAUUGUUUUGCAUUUGAAAAAGCCUCAGGUCAAACACCACUGCUGGGUACUGGGAUGCACAGGCUACAAUCAAAACAAAGCAGUAAGUUCAUCUCAUGUUUUUUCCUGUCAUUUUUGUUUUUAUGGUCCCAUGUGUAUUUAUGAAUCAAUAUUUAUUUAUUUUUCUUUUUUCCCAAAUCAUACCUGAGUGCCAACGUAGUCCCCUGCAUAGCUAUCUUCAUUUCCCGCGGUCAUCAGUUUUUACAAAAUUUAACAUUAUGCUUUUCUUCGCCUAAAGAUUUUAUGGAAUGGAGGAGCACACCCCUAAGUCUUUUUCUUAGGGGCAACAUGGUAACAUUUGUCAUAUGUUGUUUUCUUUCUUAUCAGGUGCCAACACUUCUUUUGUGAACAUGCAUAAUACACUGAGAUGCAGUCAAAUUCUAAGUUCUUCUUUCUUAGAUGAAAAAUUCUAAAUUCAGAGUCAGCACUUUUUAUUUUGUUCUCUAACAAGGUAAUGAUGCAUCUUUUCCUCUUUCUUUUCCCUAGUGAGGCCAAAUAUAUUUUCUUGAUCAGGUUGUAUAUAGAAAUGUAGUUACAGUUUUUUUGGAAAGGCAAUGUUUUUUGCUGAAUAAAUGGGAACAAAUGCCAUCUGAAAGUUGUUGCACGCAAACUGGAACAAGGAGGUGUUUUUGUUCUGAUCUUUCAGUUAGCACAUGUAUGAAGCUCAACCCAUCUGAAACAAACAAGCUAUCUGGCAUGUAAAAGAUAGUGAUAUGCAGUUUUUCUCUGACCAGUUUCUAAGGCUAGAUCAGUUUUCUGAGCCUAGAUCACACUGACAUGCACUUUAUUUAGGCGCAACAACACAAUGUUGUCUGUGUGUUCAUGUAGAUAUGGUCUGCUUAGAAAGACUUUGCUCUGAUUUUUUUGACGACAAAAAACUGUUUAACUGUUGUGUGUUUUUUCCAGAGACCAGGACCAUAUGUUUGAUGGAAAAAGAAAGGAUAAUCAUGAGCAAAAAAUAAAGAUCUACCAUCAGAAAUUAUCUAGAAGGUUGUACACGAUCUUGCCAGAAAGGAUCUACAAGGAGAGGCCAAAUUUUGUACUUGGGUUUUCGCAACUUUUCGUCAGCCACCUAAGCUUCUUUUGCAACUGUUUUUUUUUCUGCCAACAAGGCCCAGGUCUGUGCGCACAUGUUGCUCUUUUUUUUUGUCAAACAAACAAAUAGACAAAUAAAGCCCAACAAACAAGGUCCAGGGGCAGGGGGUAGUUCGGCUGGGUGGGGUGGACUGGCCAGACACAAACAAACAAUACAAACAAGCGUCUAUGUGUGUGAGGGUGAUCGGGUGCAACCAGGCUGGUUGUUUGAUUAGAGGAUGAUGUCAGCUUAGUCUCACAUCUAGAUGCAACAUAGACAGACCCUAUUCAGGACCUCUUAACUGGCUUUAUCCUCUCUUUUAACCUGUCAAUUAUUUCCGUCUCGGUGUUUAAUUCUGUCUCAUUGGGUUGGAACUGCAGGAGCCAUGCCCUUGAUUCUUGCUCCGAAAGUGGACCUGGAGAAAUUUUUGGUUCGACGAUGUAAGAUACUCCCUCCGUUCCGAAUUACUUGUCUUAGAUUUGUUUAAAUACGGAUGUAUCUAGCAUUAAAAUGAGUCUAAAUACAUCAGUAUCUAGACAAAUUCAAGACAAGUAAUUCGGAACGGAGGGAGUAUUACUUAGUGCGUUUGGUCAUGGUACUGUUUCCCCAAAGGUGGUUAUUUCUUCAUUUUUGAAUCAUGCUUGUUGUGUGCUGAUGGUGCGUGAGGAACGCCAUGGUUCUUCUCUGAAUCAUUUGGUAGUUCUCUCAAUCUUGUGCAUUUUGUUCUCUAAAACAUGUGGUAUUUCUAGGUGCACAGCAUGUUGUGUGGUGGAUAGGGGAAGCUGAGGCGACGACUGGCGACUGUUCUCUUUACAACUGGCGUGGUUGAGAGGCUAGGGAGUAGGUCAUUUUGCUAUUUGGUCAGCGAUGGAGAUGAAUUCGGGAGAGAUGUGGCUGGGAGUUGUACCGGUCAUUUUUCUGUCUCUAUAUUAUCCAUUUGCACUAAUCGGUAACAGUUUUUUGAGCAGGCAAUAGUGUAGCAUGCAUGAACAGAAAAAUUGUAUAAGGCGAGGAGGACAAUCUGAGCGACCAACAUUAUGUUUUUUUACAGAACGACCAACAUUAUGUUGAGUAUUGAGAUGUAGGUAAGGCACGUAUAAUCUGAAUUGAGCCAUAUGGAGGGCAUGUAUAGUCUGUAUGUGCAGUCUUAAUUGUAUGUUGAAUUCUUCGCUACUAGGAAAAGGGCUAUAGCUAAUAUGGUAUAGCAGUGGCGCACCAUGUGUAGGUACGCCAUUAAUGUCCAUAUCACUAAUGGCGUACCACACCCAUGGUGCGCCAUUACUAACAUUUUUUUUCCAAAACUAGUAAUGGCGCACCACACACUCUGUGCGUCACUACUAACAAUUUUUUUUAUUUUUUUUCAAAACUAGUAAUGGCGCAUUAGUGUAUAGUGCGCCAUUACUAGUUCAAACUAGUAAUGGCGCACCACAACCAUGGUGCGCCACUACUAACAUUUUUUUUACUUUUUUGCAAAAACUAGUAAUGGCGCAUCACAUAAUAGGUGCGCCAUUUAAAAGAUCGUGAAUGU
This 3025-nucleotide long non-coding RNA is filed under the name Triticum aestivum (bread wheat). RNAcentral describes it as "long non-coding RNA (TAES_LNC009350)". The stretch from base 1940 to 2074 matches the Rfam family "MIR1120/MIR1122 microRNA precursor family". Lineage: Eukaryota; Viridiplantae; Streptophyta; Magnoliopsida; Poales; Poaceae. The record is from RNAcentral.